AGCGAACGCUGGCGGCGUGCUUAACACAUGCAAGUCGAACGUGAAAUGUAGCAAUACAGAGUAAAGUGGCGUACGGGUGAGUAACACGUGGGUAAUCUACCAAAGAGCCUGGAAUGACCGACCGAAAGGUUGGCUAAUACUGGAUAGUUCAAAUGAAAUAUAAUGUUUCGAUUGGGAAAGGGAGCGAGCAAUCGCCUUCACUUUUUGAUGAGCCCGCGUCUGAUUAGCUAGUUGGUAGGGUAAUGGCCUACCAAGGCGACGAUCAGUAGCUGGUCGAAGAGGAUGAUCAGCCACACUGGAACUGAAACACGGUCCAGACUCCUACGGGAGGCAGCAGUGGGGAAUCUUGCGCAAUGGACGAAAGUCUGACGCAGCCACGCCGCGUGAGUGAAGAAGGCCUUCGGGUUGUAAAGCUCUGUCGGAAGGGACAAAAACGUUUAAGGUUAAUAGCCUUAGAUCUUGAUGGUACCUUCAAAGGAAGCACCGGCUAACUUCGUGCCAGCCGCCGCGGUAA
Molecule: ribosomal RNA, 514 nt
Filed under: uncultured bacterium
Lineage: Bacteria
Description: partial 16S ribosomal RNA
Rfam family: Bacterial small subunit ribosomal RNA
Source: RNAcentral